This 573-nucleotide ribosomal RNA is filed under the name Hypopygiopsis violacea. RNAcentral's name for it is "partial 12S ribosomal RNA". The stretch from base 384 to 455 matches the Rfam family "tRNA". The record is from RNAcentral. Lineage: Eukaryota; Metazoa; Arthropoda; Insecta; Diptera; Calliphoridae.
UAAAAAAUUUGGCGGUAUUUUAGUCUAUUCAGAGGAACCUGUUCUGUAAUCGAUAAUCCACGAUGGACCUUACUUAAGUUUGUAAUCAGUUUAUAUACCGUCGUUAUUAGAAUAUUUUAUAAGAAUGUUAAUUUUCAUAAUUUUUUAAAAGAAAAUAUAUCAGAUCAAGGUGUAGCUAAUAUUUAAGUAGAAAUGGGUUACAAUAAAUUUAUUUAAACGGAUAUAAAUUUGAAAUAUUUAUUGAAGGUGGAUUUGAUAGUAAAAUUAUAAAGAUUAAUAAUUUGAUUUUAGCUCUAAAAUAUGCACACAUCGCCCGUCACUCUUACUACUAAGGUAAGAUAAGUCGUAACAUAGUAGAUGUACUGGAAAGUGUACCUAGAAUGCAAUUUAAAGCUUAUUAAGUAAAGUAUUUCAUUUACAUUGAAAAGAUUUUUGUGCAAAUCAAUAUAAAUUGAAUAGAUUUUAUUUAUUAAUAUUUUUUUUAAAAAAUUUAAUUUAUUAAAAAUAAUUAUAUAAAGAAUUGUUUUAGUAUUUUUUAAAGAAAAAAUAAUAUUAAUUAUAGUGUAAUAGUAU